This is a non-coding RNA of Pelobates cultripes (western spadefoot toad), 222 nucleotides long. NCBI's taxonomy places the organism in Eukaryota, Metazoa, Chordata, Amphibia, Anura, Pelobatidae. The record is from the annotation of a GenBank genome assembly.
CCCAGAGUUCCCAGCUGAAUCCACUCCAGAGCAAAAAGAAAUAAACUAACAAAUAACACUGCAGUUCUGAUCACAUGGAUCCAAACACUUAUUUUCUAGAUCGGGGGGACUUCAGAACCACUUCCCUGCCAUUGGGUGUGCAUAAAUGUGAUUACACUGUCAUGCAUAAAUGUGGGCGUGGCUUCAGCUUACUGAAGAGGGCAGGACACACCAACUAGCCCC